CCUACGGGAGGCAGCAGUGGGGAAUUUUGGACAAUGGGCGCAAGCCUGAUCCAGCCAUUCCGCGUGAGUGAAGAAGGCCUUCGGGUUGUAAAGCUCUUUCGCGAGGAAGAAAACUUACUUCUAAUAAAGAGUGAGGCUGACGUACGUGAUAGA
This 153-nucleotide ribosomal RNA is filed under the name uncultured ammonia-oxidizing bacterium. RNAcentral describes it as "partial 16S ribosomal RNA". It matches the Rfam family "Bacterial small subunit ribosomal RNA", at positions 338 to 488 of the family's 1533-position model. The record is from RNAcentral.